Molecule: ribosomal RNA, 492 nt
Filed under: uncultured bacterium
Lineage: Bacteria
Description: partial 16S ribosomal RNA
Rfam family: Bacterial small subunit ribosomal RNA
Source: RNAcentral
AGUGAACGCUGGCGGUAGGCCUAACACAUGCAAGUCGAACGGCAGCACAGUAAGAGCUUGCUCUUACGGGUGGCGAGUGGCGGACGGGUGAGGAAUACAUCGGAAUCUACUUUUUCGUGGGGGAUAACGUAGGGAAACUUACGCUAAUACCGCAUACGACCUACGGGUGAAAGCAGGGGAUCUUCGGACCUUGCGCGAUUGAAUGAGCCGAUGUCGGAUUAGCUAGUUGGCGGGGUAAAGGCCCACCAAGGCGACGAUCCGUAGCCGGUCUGAGAGGGUGAUCGGCCACACUGGAACUGAGACACGGCCCAAACUCCUACGGGAGGCAGCAGUGGGGAAUCUUCCGCAAUGGGCGCAAGCCUGACGGAGCAAUGCCGCGUGAGUGAAGAAGGCCUUCGGGUUGUAAAACUCUGUUCUUAGCGAAGAGAGAGUGUUGUAGUAACUGACAAUACUAGGACGGUAGAUGAGGAGGAAGCCCCGGCUAACUAUGUG